Molecule: ribosomal RNA, 546 nt
Filed under: uncultured Bacillota bacterium
Lineage: Bacteria; Bacillati; Bacillota
Description: bacterial SSU rRNA
Rfam family: Bacterial small subunit ribosomal RNA
Source: RNAcentral
GGCAAACGGGUGAGUAACACGUGAACAACCUACCCUCGAGUGGGGAAUAACACCGCGAAAGCGGUGCUAAUACCGCAUAACAUCUCUGAAUCGCAUGGUUUUGAGAUCAAAAGCUUCGGUUGCUUGAGGAAGGGUUCGCGCCUGAUUAGCUAGUUGGUGAGGUAACGGCUCACCAAGGCUGCGAUCAGUAGCCGGCCUGAGAGGGUGAACGGCCACACUGGGACUGAGACACGGUCCAGACUCCUACGGGAGGCAGCAGUGGGGAAUUUUGCGCAAUGGGCGAAAGCCUGACGCAGCAACGCCGCGUGGAGGAUGAAGGCCCUCGGGUCGUAAACUCCUGUCAGUGGGGAAGAAUGCUUCGGUUUGACUGUACCCGCUGAGGAAGCCACGGCUAACUCCGUGCCAGCAGCCGCGGUAAUACGGAGGUGGCAAGCGUUGUUCGGAAUUACUGGGCGUAAAGGGCGCGUAGGCGGCUUGGCAAGUCGGAUGUGAAAUCCCCGAGCUUAACUUGGGAGUUGCAUCUGAUACUGUCGAGCUUGAGUCCUG